AAACAGUGGAUCUAAGCACAGUGAGGAGGCGAGUGGUGUAUUUUGGCAGUGGCAACAGCAACAGCGGGUCACUGCUGCUCAUGCAGAUUUGUACAAGCACGGUAUGCAGGCUCUUGUUCAUUGCUGGCAAAAAUGCAUAGGUGCUAAAAAUGUUUUUCAGGAUUUUUGUAGUGGUACUGCAGGAUCUUGAGGAACUUCACCGACUGAAUUCUGUAAAGAGUACAUCUCAGGAGCUAUUGGUCAGGAAACUCAAGCUUUGGGAACUCAAAUACUGGGUAUUUUCACCAGACAUGACUUAAGCACAGAGUGGGAAACAGAAACAGACCUGCGUUCACCAGUCCAUCAUGUGAAGCAGAAGAAGUUCAGCUCAGUUAUGGCUACAGCUGUUUACUACUUUGGGGAUUCCCUGCUGGUCAGAAAGCAGAAAGUGUUUGUUUCUGAACCCCAUGCAACUCAGCUCCAAAAUGCAGCAGCAAAUCUUUAAUAGGUCUAUCUUGAAUGUAUGGCAGUUGUAUUGAUGGAUUUGAAGCAUGGGAUGGAAGUGUGGAGUACCAUGUUUUAGUAGACAGAAUUGGCAGUAAUUUGAAAAGCUGUUUACUGAUACCCUUGACCAACCACAGUUCCAAAGGAAGGGACUGUAUUUUAAAGACCUCAUUCAAGUUAUAGAAAUAUUACUGUCACUUAAAAAUAGGAAUUCUUACUCUUUUUUUCUACACAAAGUACUUCUUUUUUUCUCUAAAUACUCUAAAAUUUAUGGAAGUUGUGGAUUUAUGUCAAAACUUGUAAUCAAAGUGAUGCAACAUGCACUCCAAAUGUCUAGUCUAGAAAAAUUGUUAACAAAUGAAUGUAACUUCAGAACUGGAAGCAUUAGCCAGACUGCACCCUAUCUGUCAAUAUCUGCUCCAAAUAUAAUUACAAUUUAUGGAAUAUAAACUUUAUACCACUAGAAGCUAUGUGACCUUCUAGAUGCCUUUGUUAAAGUUAUUUCCAUAUUUUGUCCCUCACACACCCACAAAUAUGACUGAAUUAUUUUGAGCACUCUGAUAUUAACUAGGGCCAAGAUAUGUAAAAAGAAAAAACAUUCAUAAUGUCAAAUGCCUUUCUUAAGUUUUUGCUGAAUAUUUCAGACAGGAAUCAUUUGCCUACAAUAAUGUUUUUGAAUUUUUUGCAUUUUUUUGAAUUGUUGGCUAAAUUCAUAGACUCCGGUAAUAUUUUAAUACAUACAAGGGGUAAUGAUUUAGGAAAAUUGAGAAGUGUGAUACUGAUUAGGCAAAUAAAAUAAAUAAGUAAAUAUAUAAAUGAGUUAUUACCAAAAGGUUUGAUAAUGUGUUCAAAGCAUUAUUCAGUGACAGACUUUUAGCAAUGGAUGUUUAGAAUGAUAAAAAUAAAGCAACAAGCAGAACUCAUAACUGUAUAAAAACAGUGACAAGUUUCAUACUAGAACAAUAAUUAUGGAAAUAAAUUUGACAUCUUACAAUCUCACUGGUGUGGAUAACCCUUUCAUUGAAGGAAGAUUCUGCUUAUGCUGAAGAUGCUGUGAGUUACAAAGACUAAAAUUGAAGUGAAAACUGUAUUUCCACUUUGGUAGUAACCUCACUGAGGUCAACAUAUUUCUCACCCUUGCUGUCUGUAGUUCAAGUGCUACCUAGUUAUUUGCAGAUAACUAGCUGCAAGAUAAAAAAUCUCAUGGAUACUUGACUACUUUAUGAAGAAUGGUUGGGUUAAGGUAUUGGUGUAUAGUGUGACUGAUUUACUCAGCUGUGGACAGUACUCCAGUAAACCUUUUCUUGACAGUUCCUAAGAAGCAAAGUGAAGAAGCACUGAAGAAUAUGGUAGGACAGGAUAGGAUAGCUUGGCCUAGCAUAAUGUAGUAUAGCAUAGGAUUCCAUAGCAUAGCAGAGAAUAGGAUAGCAUAGCAUAGGAAGCAUAGCUUGUAAGGAGUAAUAUAUUCCUACAAUAGACAUGGAGAGGAGAAUAAAUCCUGUAAAUCAGGAAAAAGUAUUCUCCAAAUAAAAGCAGUAGAAAGUCUAAAUAAUCAACGAACCAGUUUCAGGAUAGCAUAAUCAGUCAGUAUAAGCUUUUAAAAGAAUAAAACCAUGACUAAGCAAUAACACUAGUAGUAACACAUCUUUAUUAAUUACAUGAAUUUAUCUUUGAAAUCUAUUAGAAGUACUAGGUUAAUGCAAGUAUAUUAUUUUUUUAAUCAGCUCAUCUUAUGUGACAUUCAAAAGAAUGUUGUAGCAUACAUUAAUUUUAUUGCUACACAUUGCAUUUAUCUUCUAGCUUCAGGCAUACCCUGCCUAACCAACUCUGUGGGAAAAAAAAACCUGUUUCUUUUCAUGGUUCUCUGAGUCAUUGGCAGUGCCAUUUCAGUGCAAAAUACUGAGAGAAAGUUAUAUUGCUGUAUCAGAAGUACUUUUUUAGGGUUUAUUUCUAGAGAGAUGUUUUAUUAUGGCAGGAUGACAGCUUAGAAGAAAGGUAGGGGUGCAGAGGCUAGGCAUUCCCACAACUCAUUAUCCUGCAAAUACAUGGAUUACCACAGUGCGAAAGAGGCAACUGUAUUCAAGAGCAGUCAACAAAUCUCUGUGUGAAUAGUUACUGUGAGAGGCUUGAAAUGAGGAAAGUUGAAAGCGACUUUUGUGCUGCUCAGACUCAUUCAGUCAUGUAAGGGGUGAAGCUUCAUUUCUCCAGCUUAAUAAAGUAGUUCAUUUUUAAUUAAGAAAUAAGAUAUGGUAGGACGUAAACAGUAACUGCAUUAAUUCAUAGUUAGUGUGCUGCAGCUAGCUAUGAGCCUGAAGGAUAAGUCAACAUCAGAGCAACUAGACGUGAAUUACCACCACUGAGUGUUCAUUUUGGAAUGUCUUACAGCCAUUGUAAAAAUGUUAUUAUUUUGAAAAUAUUUAUAUUGUUAAUUAAAGGUGUGCACAAAUACAUUUUUGUUUCAAACCACACACAGUUUAUUCUUUUUUUUUUUAAGUGUAUUCAUUUAUUUAGUAGGAGAGAAAUUCACCCCUCCCUGCACAAAGCACAUUUACAAAGAGAAAGUGGCAACAGGAGAAGGGAAUAACUGCUCCAUUCCAUUCUGCUAAUCCCAGCAUCUUCAGUAUCUUAGUGAAGGUUUGAACACAAAAUUAUCAGAAUUGUGGAAUAAAAAGGCAGUGAUUGUAAAAGCAUUUAGAUAAACAGUGGAAGCUGAAAAUUCUUGGUUCUGAAGAGGUUCUGAAAGUUCUUUUCUGCAGAAAUACAGAAUAAAUCUCUUGCAACACAGUAAGAUAAGUUCCUUGGCUUCAGAGAGCUGCUGUGUAUUCAAGUAGGAUAAGAUGCCACCCUAAUGACUAAUAUGUAAUUAAAUCUGUAGGGUAUUUACCUGCUGCUCAUCUCCUCACCCACUGCAGAUUUCAGAUGUACCAUGUAAUGGAUUGUGAGCACACCUAAACUCCUACCGUACCUACUCUGAGUUAGACCUCAGCCAGCUUUUUUCCAACAGUACUAUAGUCCUGUCACUACAGUGCAAGGCUCUUUAUCCUGCAAACGAUGCAGGAACAUUUAAUAAUACAGAAGAAAACAUAUAAUUCUUAGUAUUCUUUCAGUAAAAACCUUAUUUUGUUUUACUAAAAAAAUAAAUUUAAUAUGGUUUAAUGAUAUGGGUGGACAGACAAAAUUCCAACAAGAUGAACAAAAAAAAGGAAAUAAAUAUUUAGGGUUUUUUUUCAUUCCAUCUUACAAGUUCUGUAGUAAUUACAGUUUCUUUCAUUACCAUUCUUCCUUUCCUUUUCUCAUUUUUAUCAGGUUAGUACCCAAAGAAAGAAUUUCUGGCUUAUUCUUCAUUUCAGAGAGGGCAUGUUAGCACUGAGAUGGGUUCUAAUAAUAUAAGUUGGCAACAAGUUCUGUAUAUAAUAUCAUAAAAAGUCAGUUUCUGUGAUAAUACGAGACCAAAUGUAUGGAAAUACAGUGCAUUUGGAGCACAUUGCAUGAUUAGGUUUCUUUAUGUUGCUGAAAACCAAUUAAAAAUACAAUGAGAUAUCAUACAAUACAACCACCCCAUCCGGUAACAAAAUAAUUACUGUGACUCUUCCAAACAUCAUUUCAGGAAUUUCUUUUCCAUAUGGUAUAUGAAAAAAAAUCAUUGGCAGUGUUGAGUUGCUACAUCUGCCAAAAAUGCUCUUUGUUAAGCAGUAAUUCAAGUAGCAAAUAAGUUUUAUGUAUAAUUAGCUUACUAAAUGACCAUGUAAAAUAGGUGAAUUUUGUUGUUCAUGAAUAAUUCAUACCUGUGAAUAUAUUAUUACUACUAGUUUUGUUUAAAGUUAACUAUCUUUGAGAUAGAUAAGAAAGAUAGAUAUAUCUUUUAAUAAUUGUAUCAAAGUGUGGAAAACAAUAUAGAAAUGUAGCAGUAUCUACUAGAAUUACCAUGGUUUCGUAUGCCAUGAAAACUGCAUAUUGCGUUGAAUGCUCUGAGGGCUUAAGAAAUGCUUUAUCUUCACAGGACACAGGAACAACUAGAAGUAGGAAUGUCAUUAAAGAGAGCAGUUGUAUUCUUUAUCAUAAUCACUUGCAUUGCAAGUGUCAUUCACCACUAGAGCUCUCCUUCAUAGGGCGAUUUUGGUCUGUUGGUCCAGUUUUAAAUAAACAUUGGGUUUAAACUAAGCCACAAAUACAAUGGACUUUUAAAUGAUUAAAUGUACUUUCAGACAUCUCAGUAAGAAUGGCAUUAAUGAUUUGAUUCAGUCUUCUAAGAAUUUGGAAACAAGAAAAAAUUCCUACAUAGCUCAGACAUUAUCUGAAAAUAGAUUCACUACAUGUAGUCUUAACAAGCUAGUAAUCAUUUAUUUUUCCCUCCUUUAAGGAAAACUUUAAAACAACCAACCAAAAAAAAAAGACUUUUUUUUCCUUUUUCUGUUUAAACAGUUUCAAUACUCAGUAGAAACAAGGAAUGACACACCAACAAUAGGUUUAUUAUCUAUUACAUUAAGAAAUAGUUGUGUUUUACUCAAUAACAAAGCUACUUUAGCCUCUAAUAUUUUAUGAAUAUUCUUACUGCACAGUGAAAGGCAUCAGUCUCAAUGACUCUCUCUCAAAUGAUCAAAACUAAUUGUUACAAUUGCUUCCAGUAAUAUAGAGAAUAUACCAGGGUUAACUUUCCAGCUAAACCUUAAAAUUACCAUUAUUUGAAUCCCCAAUUUUCAGAUUUUUGAAAUAAUCAUGUAAGCUGACAAAGUCAUACAAGAAGAAAUGAGACCAGAUCAAGUUGGACUGGACUGGAAGGUAUUUUCCCCAGUGGUGGCCUACAUUAAAAGAAAUAAAUGAAAGAUCAUUUGUAACAAUACUGACUGCUUCCACUUCUCAUAUCUGACAUAUUCAGGUCUAAAAGAAAUGCAUUUUAUUGAAAGGAAAUUCACUGUCAGCUUAACAAUUUCAAAGGAAAGGAUUUAUUUUAAAGGGAAAUAUACUUUGAUUUUAGCUAAAAUCUAUAUAUGAUUUGUAAGGAAAGCAUAUAAGCAAACACAUGUAUCAUAUUCAGCUAAACAUGCUAAAACAUAAAAUUUUCUUCCUGAUUAAUGAAAAUAUUUAAGACUCUGUAAAUUCAAAAGACAAAAAAAAAAAAAAAAGGAAAAAAAGGGAAAAAAGUUGGUAUAUAUAUGUUU
Numida meleagris (helmeted guineafowl) is the source of this 5642-nucleotide long non-coding RNA. RefSeq lists it as uncharacterized. Lineage: Eukaryota; Metazoa; Chordata; Aves; Galliformes; Numididae. The record is from RefSeq and is a predicted model, not a curated record. The transcript has 4 exons.